GGAGCUUGCUCCGCUGACGAGUGGCGAACGGGUGAGUAAUAUAUCGGAACGUACCAUUCAGUGGGGGAUAACGUAGCGAAAGUUACGCUAAUACCGCAUAUUCUGUGAGCAGGAAAGCAGGGGAUCGCAAGACCUUGCGCUGAUUGAGCGGCCGAUAUCAGAUUAGCUUGUUGGUGAGGUAAAAGCUCACCAAGGCGACGAUCUGUAGCGGGUCUGAGAGGAUGAUCCGCCACACUGGAACUGAGACACGGUCCAGACUCCUACGGGAGGCAGCAGUGGGGAAUUUUGGACAAUGGGGGCAACCCUGAUCCAGCCAUGCCGCGUGAGUGAAGAAGGCCUUCGGGUUGUAAAGCUCUUUCAGCCGGGAAGAAAACGCAUGGGUUAAUACCCUGUGUGGAUGACGGUACCGGAAUAAGAAGCACCGGCUAACUACGUGCCAGCAGCCGCGGUAAUACGUAGGGUGCGAGCGUUAAUCGGAAUUACUGGGCGUAAAGCGUGCGCAGGCGGUUUUGUAAGACAGGCGUGAAAUCCCCGGGCUUAACCUGGGAACUGCGUUUGUGACUGCAAGGCUAGAGUACGGCAGAGGGGGGUGGAAUUCCACGUGUAGCAGUGAAAUGCGUAGAGAUGUGGAGGAACACCAAUGGCGAAGGCAGCCCCCUGGGUCGAUACUGACGCUCAUGCACGAAAGCGUGGGUAGCAAACAGGAUUAGAUACCCUGGUAGUCCACGCCCUAAACGAUGUCAACUAGGUGUUGGGAGGGUAAAACCUUUUAGUACCGGAGCUAACGCGUGAAGUUGACCGCCUGGGAGUAUGGCCGCAAGGUUAAAACUCAAAGGAAUUGACGGGGACCCGCACAAGCGGUGGAUGAUGUGGAUUAAUUCGAUGCAACGCGAAAAACCUUACCUACCCUUGACAUGCCAAGAACUUUCCAGAGAUGGAUUGGUGCCCGAAAGGGAACUUGGACACAGGUGCUGCAUGGCUGUCGUCAGCUCGUGUCGUGAGAUGUUGGGUUAAGUCCCGCAACGAGCGCAACCCUUGUCGUUAAUUGCCAUCAUUUAGUUGGGCACUUUAACGAUACUGCCGGUGACAAACCGGAGGAAGGUGGGGAUGACGUCAAGUCCUCAUGGCCCUUAUGGGUAGGGCUUCACACGUCAUACAAUGGUCGGUACAAAGGGUCGCCAAGCCGCGAGGUGGAGCCAAUCCCAGAAAGCCGAUCGUAGUCCGGAUCGCAGUCUGCAACUCGACUGCGUGAAGUCGGAAUCGCUAGUAAUCGUGGAUCAGAAUGUCACGGUGAAUACGUUCCCGGGUCUUGUACACACCGCCCGUCACACCAUGGGAGCGGGUUCCGCCAGAAGUAGGUAGCCUAACCGCAAGGAGGGCGCUUACCACGGCGGGGUUCGUGACUGGGGUGAAGUCGUAACAAGGUA
RNAcentral lists this ribosomal RNA (1427 nucleotides) under metagenome. RNAcentral describes it as "bacterial SSU rRNA". It matches the Rfam family "Bacterial small subunit ribosomal RNA". The record is from RNAcentral.